This 2321-nucleotide unclassified non-coding RNA is filed under the name Hermetia illucens (black soldier fly). RNAcentral's name for it is "uncharacterized LOC119654860, transcript variant X1". Lineage: Eukaryota; Metazoa; Arthropoda; Insecta; Diptera; Stratiomyidae. The record is from RNAcentral.
AGACCUGGGAACGUGCGGUUUAGUUUGCCAUGGGUUUUUACGACGGAUAAGGGUGGACAGAAUAUUCCGUUGAAUAGUUUUUAAUUUUUCUCCAUUUUAGAAAUUAUUUUAUGGUUUUAAUACCGGACAGUUUCAAAGUUAUUUGGCAAGCUUCACUUGUGCAGCUGCUCCUGUGUUUAUGAAGAAUGUUGAUUUUUACUACUUCAAGGCAGGGUAGUAGCGGAUAGAGUACAAGCUGGGAAUUCUUUCAUUAUUUUAGUUUUUGCGGACGACUAUUCUGCAGUUGGUACAGAAUACAAGUUUCCCUUCGAAAUGGACCAUGAUAAAGUCAUUGAAGAACUUACCGCAGAAUUAAAAAAACUGACAGAGGAGUCAAUUCGAUUGGAAAAGCAAUUACAGCACUGUGAAAGAGAGUUAGCCCAACAAGACCGAGACGAAGUUGACUUCUAUGAAACGCUUCACAAAAUGCAGUUGGAGGCAGCCAGGGCGCGUAAUUAUGCCAUUCAACAAAGACUAGAUCAAGCAACGGCAGAAUAUAAUGAAAUGAGGAAGCAGCUUAAAAUCUUCUGCAAUGAGGCAGGCUUCAACAAAGGUCCAAAACCUCCAAGGCAGGAAGAAGUUGAUUAUAACUUUUGUAAAGCUAACCGUGAAGAUGAGAGGUGCAAAACACCUGAGCACGUAACCCCAUCUUACUGCAAAUUACGCCCAGAUAAAAGAUGCGAAAAAACUAUUUCCUUCUGUAAAAGAGCAUUUGAUGAUGACAGUAGAUGUCAGCUGCUUGACUAUGUAUUCUGUAAAAUAAAGCCAGAGCAUGAGAAAUGCAUCGCAGGUGACAAUAUAACUAAAAGUUUCUGCAAACUGCGCGAACAUCCCCUAUGCAAAGCGACCGAUUCUUAUUGCAAAAGAUUCAAAGGAUAUGAUCCCAGGUGUGCAUCUGACGCACAUCUGGUCAAUCAUCUAUUUUGCAGAACCAAUAAAACUCAUCCACUAUGCAAAACACCGGAGAUAGUCACCUCCAGUUAUUGUAAAAGGCGUGAAAACGCAAAGUGCAAGAUAACAAAAUCGUAUUGUGAAAGAUUCGUCGGGUAUGAUGAAAGGUGCAAACAAGAACCAGAUGGUCCUCCCAAACCAGAUGGCCCUCCCAAACCAGAUGGUCCUCCUAAACCAGAUGGUCCUCCUAAACCAGAUGGUCCUCCUAAACCAGAUGGUCCUCCUAAACCAGAUGGUCCUCCCAAACCAGAUGGUCCUCCUAAACCAGAUGGUCCUCCCAAACCGGAUGGUCCUCCCAAAGCCGAUGGAUCUGGCAUUGAAUACUAUUAACAUAUAUAACAUUCAUUCACUAUUUUCCGGAAACAACAGAAAAUGGCUCUUCUUGCCAAGGGUGCAAGGAAAACGAAAAUGGAGUGACUGAAUCUUAUCAAAUAAAAUUACGAGCAAGGACAGGUCAAAAGGUUUCCCCUUUCUACGCAGAAUCCGAACAUCCUCCCUACUCCUAUGUAGAAUCUGAACAUCUUCCCUCCUCCUAUGCAGAAUCUGAACGUUCUGACCCUUCGUACGAAGAAUCUGGAAAACCAGGGUAUCCUGCAGAUCGGAAAAGAUAUCAAAAGUUGAAUUUUGAGUUGUGUCGAAAAUAUGCAGAUCUCAGGUGUGCGUACAAUCGUGAUUGGUGGUCGCUUGACAGUUAUUGUAAAAUAGCAUACCAUCCCGACUGCAAGAAGACAGCUUCGUUUUGUGCUAAAUUCGAAAAAAAGGACGAGAGGUGUCGCGUUAUAGACCAUAUAUAUUGCAAAAAUCAUAGGAACGAUCCUCGGUGCGCCUCAGCGGAAGUAACCGAUAGCUACUGCAAACGACCUGCUGACAAAAAAUGCAGAAGAACAACCUCCUAUUGCCAAAGGUUUGCAGGAGACGACGAAAGAUGUCCAAAUAUUGAUCACGAAUGGUGCGCGAAAUAUCCUGAACAUGAAAAGUGCCAAGAGAUUCUUUGCAAUUGACCAAAGGUGUCGUAAAGUUAAUCACACUUACUGCCUACUCAAGCCUAGUGACGAGCGUUGUAGGACACGAACGGAGGUGACAAAAAGUUAUUGCAGACUUCGACCCGAUUGCAGAUGCCCUUUGAACGAAUCUUACUGCAAAAAGUUUUGGUUUUUCGAUAUCAACUGUUACGUUUACCCUAAACCUCCGAAAGAGUUCCUUAAUGAACCCAGUGAGCAUAGUGAAUACAGGAAGAAGAUUUAAGCAAAAUGAUUUUUGUACUGAAUUUUAUUUGAAACGUUAUGGGAUAAAAUCCAAAGUUUUUGAAAUAAAGUAGAUAACAUUCGAGA